GACAAUGCUGCAAAACAUACAGGACCAGUAGUUGAAAAUCUGCAUAACCCUGAAGCAGUUAAACAGAAAGGAAGGCCAAAAAAACCUACAAGGUUAAAGCCACUAGUGGAGGAAAUCCGCAUCAAGAUGAAGAAGGCAGAGCAAAAGAAAAACAAGAAAACAAGCAAUGCAGCAGCAAGCCCACAAGGAAAGGAGAAGAAGAUGAAAAGAACAGCACCUUGAAUAAUUACUACUCCCCCUCCUAACAGAACCACGAACACUCACACUGAAAAAGAUGCAGAAAAAAUAGAGAGAAAAAUGAAGAACACUUAGUGGAGAAAGGGGAAGGGAUGGACUGUGCAAUUAUGAUAUAUUCAUAUAGUUGGUGCAAACAACAAAAAAAGUUUGUUUUUCUUUCAGUUGAGUCAUGUAAUCGCUUGCAAAAACAAAGUGUUGAAAAACAGAUCAUGCUUGCCUGAUUA
Molecule: long non-coding RNA, 461 nt
Organism: Zea mays
Lineage: Eukaryota; Viridiplantae; Streptophyta; Magnoliopsida; Poales; Poaceae
Exons: 2
Source: RefSeq, a predicted model, not a curated record